Molecule: signal recognition particle RNA, 97 nt
Filed under: Gammaproteobacteria bacterium
Lineage: Bacteria; Pseudomonadati; Pseudomonadota; Gammaproteobacteria
Description: signal recognition particle sRNA small type
Rfam family: Bacterial small signal recognition particle RNA
About the family: The signal recognition particle (SRP) is a universally conserved ribonucleoprotein involved in the co-translational targeting of proteins to membranes. Archaeal SRP consists of a 7S RNA and homologues of the eukaryotic SRP19 and SRP54 proteins.
Source: RNAcentral
UAUCGGUCCCCUCGCGACGACGAACUGUGAACCCCGUCAGGCCCGGAAGGGAGCAGCGGUAACAGCCACAUCGGGCGCUGGGGUGCGGCUGGUAUGG